AUUGGCACCGUCUUCCUGUCUUCAUCUCAGUAGUGGUCUGUGCAAGGGGCACAGAGCCCGGAAGAGUCGAGAGCCCAAAACCGCCGGCUGCUGCCCGACGCCCCCAACGCCCUACACAUCCUGGACGGGCCCGAGCAGCGCUAUUUCCUGGGCGUCGUGGAUCUCGCCACAGUCUACGGGCUCCGCAAGCGGCUGGAGCACCUGUGGAAGACACUGCGCUACCCAGGCCGGACCUUCUCCACUGUCAGCCCGGCUCGCUACGCCCGUCGCCUCUGCCAGUGGGUGGAGGCGCACACGGAGUGACGGGCGCCCGGCCCCACUCUCCGGAUCUGGACGAUGGGCUCACGCCAGGAACGCCGGUUCCCCCGGGCCCGGGCAUCUCGCCUGCGCUUCCUCCUGAUGGUCGCCAGAGGGCAGCAUCCCCUAACUAAUACCGUAACCGCGCAGUCCCGUUUGACGGUGGUGCCGUGCCCAGCAUCGUGCCAAGGACUCCCCUACUUUAGCUCAUUUAAUCCUCAAAAAAUGCUAUUAUUCUCUUUUUACAGACCAUGAAAUGGAGGCUCAGGGGGUGAAGGGACUGAUCAAGAUCAUUCAGCAAUAAAUGCUGGAACCAGGACUCAACCAUGGCUUUUGGAUUCCGGAGCCUGUAUUCUUAACCACCAGCUCCUGCAGCUUGGUCCUCAUGAUCUGGGCAAGGGGGGAGGCUGAAGGCUGCAGCCCUCUUGUCAUCCAGAUGGGGAAACUGAGGCCCAGAGACUUUAAGGGGCGUAAGCACGGGUAAGUGGCAAGGUCGGCCCUGAGUACCCAGGCCUCCCGGCCCCCUGCUCCUGGCCUGAUACUCUAGGGAUGCAGGUGGGAGAAGCAGGGGUCCUGGGGGCUGCCUGGAGCUCUGGGAGGCAUUCUGAACGGGGUCUACUACUGAUCUCAGGUGAGCUCUGCCCUCCUCUGAAAGUCACUUUUCUCAUCAGUUAAAUGGGGGCAAGGGUCCGUGGUCCGACCAAGGUCUUGGCUUCACAGACAUCACCAGGAGCCUGCAUGCCCCUGAUCACUCCUUCUCCUUCCUCCAGGAAACUCCAGCCUGGCCUCUGACCCCAGUUCAAUCCGACCAUGCCCAAGCCCAAGCGGGCCUUUCCUCCAGAACUGCUCCGGGGCCUGGCUGUGUGACUGGAGCAAGGUGCUAAACCUCUCUGUGCCUCGCUGGUCUAAUCUGUAAAAUGAAGGAAUGGAAACAGACCUCAUUAACUCAUUAAAUAUUUGUUGAGC
Molecule: long non-coding RNA, 1263 nt
Filed under: Homo sapiens (human)
Lineage: Eukaryota; Metazoa; Chordata; Mammalia; Primates; Hominidae
Description: HSALNT0354969
Source: RNAcentral